UCAACUUAAGAGUUUGAUUAUGGCUCAGAACGAACGCUUGCUGCAUGCUUUAUACAUGCAAGUCGAACGAAGGCCCUAGCUUGCUAGGUGUCCUUAGUGGCGCACGGGUGAGUAACACGUGGGAACAUACCUCAUAGUACGGAAUAACUGCGGGAAACUGUAGCUAAUACCGUAUAUUCCAGCAAUGGGAAAGAUUUAUCGCUAUGAGAUUGGCCCGCGCAAGAUUAGUUUGUUGGUAAGGUAAUGGCUUACCAAGGCUACGAUCUUUAGCUGGUUUGAGAGGAUGAUCAGCCACACUGGGACUGAGACACGGCCCAGACUCCUACGGGAGGCAGCAGUAGGGAAUAUUGGACAAUGAGCGAAAGCUUGAUCCAGCUAUGCCGCGUGUGCGAUG
This 394-nucleotide ribosomal RNA is filed under the name Pelagibacteraceae bacterium TMED259. Its description in RNAcentral is "bacterial SSU rRNA". It matches the Rfam family "Bacterial small subunit ribosomal RNA", at positions 1 to 410 of the family's 1533-position model. Lineage: Bacteria; Pseudomonadati; Pseudomonadota; Alphaproteobacteria; Candidatus Pelagibacterales; Candidatus Pelagibacteraceae. The record is from RNAcentral.